Molecule: ribosomal RNA, 413 nt
Filed under: uncultured bacterium
Lineage: Bacteria
Description: bacterial SSU rRNA
Rfam family: Bacterial small subunit ribosomal RNA
Source: RNAcentral
GUGCCAGCCGCCGCGGUAAUACAGAGGUGGCGAGCGUUGUUCGGAUUUACUGGGCGUAAAGCGUGCGUAGGCGGUCGCGUGUGUCGGAUGUGAAAUCCCGGGGCUCACCCCCGGAAGUGCAUCCGAAACUGCGCGGCUUGAGGCCGGGAUGGGUGACUGGAACACAUGGUGUAGCGGUGAAAUGCGUUGAUAUCAUGUGGAACACCGGAGGCGAAGGCGAGUCACUGGAACGGAUCUGACGCUGAGGCACGAAAGCGUGGGGAGCAAACAGGAUUAGAUACCCUGGUAGUCCACGCCGUAAACGUUGCACAUUUGCCGUGGGGGGAAUUGACCCCCCCCGUGGCGCAGCUAACGCGUUAAAUGUGCCGCCUGGGGAGUACGGCCGCAAGGUUAAAACUCAAAGAAAUUGACGG